RNAcentral lists this ribosomal RNA (1377 nucleotides) under Pycnoscelus sp. B103. RNAcentral describes it as "16S ribosomal RNA". The stretch from base 1076 to 1234 matches the Rfam family "Bacterial large subunit ribosomal RNA", at positions 2473 to 2632 of the family's 2925-position model. The record is from RNAcentral. Lineage: Eukaryota; Metazoa; Arthropoda; Insecta; Blattodea; Blaberidae.
CGUGCAAAUCGAUAUGAUUUGAUUAUUUAAUUUUUACUUUAUAGGUUUGUUGGUUAUUGUUUAUUAUUAAAUCAUUAUUUUUGUUGGUGUAUUUGUUAGGGAUUAAAUUGAUUUGGUUAUAAUGGAUUUUUACUGUGAAGGUUUAUUUGAAAUAAUUUUAUUUAUUUAAUAAGUUGAAUUUAAUUUUUGUACCUUGUGUAUCAGGAUUAAUUAAUUGUUGAUUAAUUAUUUAAUGUUCUCGAUUUCUUUAGAGUUAAUGGAAUAUUUUAUUUAUUGUCUUAUAAAUAUUAAAAAUUUUUUGUUGGUAGUGAAAUGCUAUUCGUUAAUGAAGGUAUCUAGUUUUCUAAGAAAUGAAUUUAAUUUACAUAAUUUCUUUAAUUUAAUUUUUUUUUUUAUGGAUUUAAGUUAUUAUGAAUUAUAAAGGGGAUAAUCUCUUUAUAAAAAUUUUAUAAGGUGAUUUUGUUAUAAAUUUUUAUGGAUUUAAUAAUGAUUAUUAUUAUAAGUAUUUUAAAAUUUUAAUUUUAUAGGAUGUGAUUUUUAGUCCUUUAAUUAUUUAUUAGGAUUUUUUAUAUAAUUUUUUUUUAAGUUUUAUAAUGGUUGAAUUAGUAUAAAAUUUUUUAAGGUAUUUUUGUUUGUAAAGUAUUUUUAAGGAAUUAGGCAAGAAUUUAUUCGCCUGUUUAACAAAAACAUCUUUUCUUGUAUAUGAAUAUGAAAUAUAGCCUGCCCAAUGAGGGGUUGAAUGGCCGCGGUAUUUUGACCGUGCAAAGGUAGCAUAAUCAUUAGUCUUUUAAUUGAAGGCUGGAAUGAAUGGCUGGACGAGAUAAAUACUGUCUUGGAAUUAAUUAAUUAGAAUUUAACUUUUGAGUUAAAAGGCUUAAAUUUACUUUUGGGACGAGAAGACCCUAUAGAGUUUAUAUAAAUUUUUGUUUCUAGUUGAGUUUGUGGAUAAUUUGGGUAUAAAAAUUUAUUUGGUUGGGGUGACAAUAAGAUAUUUAAAACUCUUUUAUUUUAUUUAGUUAUAGAUUUAUAUAUUAUUGAUCCAUUAUUAAUGAUUAAAAGACUAAAUUACCUUAGGGAUAACAGCGUAAUCUUUUUUGAGAGUUCAUAUCGACAAAGGGGAUUGCGACCUCGAUGUUGGAUUAAGAUAAUAUUUUGGUGUAGAAGCUAAAAUUUUAGGUCUGUUCGACCUUUAAAUUCUUACAUGAUCUGAGUUCAAACCGGCGUGAGCCAGGUUGGUUUCUAUCUAAUAUAAAGUUUGAUGUUUUAGUACGAAAGGACCAGACAUUAGAAAUAAUUUUUUUUAUUCUGAUUAUUAUUAACUGUUUUGGCAGAAAAGUGCAACGGAUUUAGAAUUUGUAAAUGUAAUUAUGAAAUUAC